GAAUUGGACUAAUACCUUAUAAUACUAUUUUGUUGCAUGACAGAUUAGUCAAAGGGUGCCAAUUUAUUGGUAUUGCUUAAGGAUGGGCCUGCGUUCCAUUAGUUAGUUGGUAAGGUAACGGCUUACCAAGACGACGAUGGAUAGCUGGUUUGAGAGAGUGAUCCGCCACACUGGGACUGAGAUACGGCCCAG
RNAcentral lists this ribosomal RNA (192 nucleotides) under uncultured bacterium. Its description in RNAcentral is "partial 16S ribosomal RNA". It matches the Rfam family "Bacterial small subunit ribosomal RNA", at positions 155 to 334 of the family's 1533-position model. The record is from RNAcentral.